CGACCGGCGCACGGGUGAGUAACGCGUAUGCGACCUGCCCGUUGCAGGGGGAUAAUCGGGAGAAAUCCCGUCUAAUACCGCGUAACGCCGCGGGGCUGCAUGGCCCUGCGGCCAAAGGAGGCGACUCCGGUGCCGGCUGGGCACGCGUGACAUUAGCUAGUUGGCGGGGCGACGGCCCACCAAGGCGACGAUGUCUAGGGGUUCUGAGAGGAAGGUCCCCCACACUGGUACUGAGACACGGACCAGACUCCUACGGGAGGCAGCAG
Molecule: ribosomal RNA, 266 nt
Filed under: uncultured bacterium
Lineage: Bacteria
Description: partial 16S ribosomal RNA
Rfam family: Bacterial small subunit ribosomal RNA
Source: RNAcentral